Potamilus streckersoni is the source of this 78-nucleotide non-coding RNA. The record is from the annotation of a GenBank genome assembly. NCBI's taxonomy places the organism in Eukaryota, Metazoa, Mollusca, Bivalvia, Unionida, Unionidae.
GCUAUUGUGGCAUAGUGGUUAGAGCGUCCGCCUCGGAUGCAGGAGGUCGUGGCUUUGAUCCCCGGCUGAGCCAUACCA